GACGAACGCUGGCGGCGUGCUUAACACAUGCAAGUCGAACGCUGAAGCACCAGCUUGCUGGUGUGGAUGAGUGGCGAACGGGUGAGUAAUACGUGAGUAACCUGCCCUUGACUCUGGGAUAAGCCCGGGAAACUGGGUCUAAUACUGGAUGCUACAUGUCACCGCAUGGUGGUGUGUGGAAAGGGUUUACUGGUCUUGGAUGGGCUCACGGCCUAUCAGCUUGUUGGUGAGGUAAUGGCUCACCAAGGCGACGACGGGUAGCCGGCCUGAGAGGGUGACCGGCCACCCUGGGACCGAGACACGGCCCAGACUCCUAAGGGAGGCAGCAGGGGGGAAGAUUGCACAAUGGGCGAAAGCCUGGUGCAGCGACGCCGCGGGAGGGAUGACGGCCUUCGGGUUGUAAACCUCUUUCAGCAGGGAAGAAGCCACAAGUGACGGUACCUGCAGAAGAAGCGCCGGCUAACUACGUG
This 470-nucleotide ribosomal RNA is filed under the name uncultured bacterium. Its description in RNAcentral is "partial 16S ribosomal RNA". It matches the Rfam family "Bacterial small subunit ribosomal RNA", at positions 28 to 507 of the family's 1533-position model. The record is from RNAcentral.